GCGGGAGUAGCUCAGUGGUAGAGUAUAACCUUGCCAAGGUUAGGGUCGAGGGUUCGAACCCCUUUCCCGCU
This 71-nucleotide transfer RNA is filed under the name Anaplasma phagocytophilum str. Annie. Its description in RNAcentral is "tRNA-Gly". It matches the Rfam family "tRNA". From Rfam's summary of the family: Transfer RNA (tRNA) molecules are approximately 80 nucleotides in length. Their secondary structure includes four short double-helical elements and three loops (D, anti-codon, and T loops). Lineage: Bacteria; Pseudomonadati; Pseudomonadota; Alphaproteobacteria; Rickettsiales; Anaplasmataceae. The record is from RNAcentral.